ACGGAAGGCAGCAGUGGGGAAUAUUGCACAAUGGGCGCAAGCCUGAUGCAGCAACGCCGCGUGAGGGAAGACGGUUUUCGGAUUGUAAACCUCUGUUCUUGGUGACGAAGACGUGACGGUAGCCAAGGAGAAAGCCACGGCUAACUACGUGCCAGCAGCCGCGGUAAUACGUAGGUGGCAAGCGUUAUCCGGAAUUACUGGGUGUAAAGGGAGCGCAGGCGGGACAGCAAGUCAGCGGUGAAAUGUAUGGGCUCAACCCAUGAACUGCCGUUGAAACUGUUGUUCUUGAGUGGAGUAGAGGUAGGCGGAAUUCCGAGUGUAGCGGUGAAAUGCGUAGAUAUUCGGAGGAACACCAGUGGCGAAGGCGGCCUGCUGGGCUCUAACUGACGCUGAGGCUCGAAAGUGUGGGGAGCAAACAGGAUUAGAUACCCUGGUA
Molecule: ribosomal RNA, 436 nt
Filed under: uncultured Clostridium sp.
Lineage: Bacteria; Bacillati; Bacillota; Clostridia; Eubacteriales; Clostridiaceae
Description: partial 16S ribosomal RNA
Rfam family: Bacterial small subunit ribosomal RNA
Source: RNAcentral